UCUCUUGCCUUUAGGACUCUGCAUUUUGUGUUCACUUACAAUUAUGUACCUCCACCUUAGAGAUAUCAUGCUGGAGAUGGAAGUGCUACAUGUGGCCCCAGGCUGGGUUUUUUUCAUGAGCAUCUUCACUUGUUUCCUGUGCUUAGUGUUGGGUACACUUCGGUUACUGUGGCAGAAGUAUCUGGUCCAAGUAAAGAAAAAACGGAGAACCACAAUAAUGUUAGUAGAGGGAGAAGCUCCUCUUGGCAUCCAUGAGAUGUAUCCCUAAACACAGGAUUUCCCACUCUGAGCCCAGUAACAAGGUUAUAGGGUCUGACUGGACAAAAAUGGACAAUUGAAAAGGUGCUGUCACUUAGCCAAAAGCAAUUUGAAAUGUGUAAGUGUCUCAGUGAACUAUUCACCUCCAUCUGCAACAUUUGGAAGAUCAUCAGCCAAUGCUAAUUUACUGAAAUGGUUUACGAUAUUCUGCUUUCCCUGUAGAAGGAGGGAAUUCUCCACUUCUACCCACUGCCUCAUGUAGAAAAUAUAUUUUCCCAUUCCCCGGAUCAUUUUCACAAUAACAUUUACACAAUACAAUUGUAAAUAAAUACCUUGACAAAUGUAUCCUACUCCAUGGAACUUACCCUAAUGAUUGCUCCCAAAUGUCCUCUUUGACCCAAUCAUCUGUUAAAUUUCUCUUUGGUUUCUGAGUUAAUAAAAGUUGCAAGAAAUUCAUCAAUUA
Molecule: long non-coding RNA, 721 nt
Organism: Anolis carolinensis (green anole)
Lineage: Eukaryota; Metazoa; Chordata; Lepidosauria; Squamata; Anolidae
Exons: 2
Source: RefSeq, a predicted model, not a curated record